Molecule: ribosomal RNA, 301 nt
Filed under: uncultured bacterium
Lineage: Bacteria
Description: partial 16S ribosomal RNA
Rfam family: Bacterial small subunit ribosomal RNA
Source: RNAcentral
CAGUCGCCGCGGUAAUACGGAGGAUCCAAGCGUUAUCCGGAAUCAUUGGGUUUAAAGGGUCCGUAGGCGGUCUUGUAAGUCAGUGGUGAAAGCCCAUCGCUCAACGGUGGAACGGCCAUUGAUACUGCAGGACUUGAAUUAUUGGGAAGUAACUAGAAUAUGUAGUGUAGCGGUGAAAUGCUUAGAGAUUACAUGGAAUACCAAUUGCGAAGGCAGGUUACUACCAAUUGAUUGACGCUGAUGGACGAAAGCGUGGGUAGCGAACAGGAUUAGAUACCCGCGUAGUCCCUGUCUCUUAUAC